This 253-nucleotide ribosomal RNA is filed under the name uncultured bacterium. RNAcentral's name for it is "partial 16S ribosomal RNA". It matches the Rfam family "Bacterial small subunit ribosomal RNA", at positions 524 to 776 of the family's 1533-position model. The record is from RNAcentral.
UACGAAGGGGGCUAGCGUUGCUCGGAAUCACUGGGCGUAAAGCGCACGUAGGCGGAUUCUUAAGUCGGUGGUGAAAGCCUGGAGCUCAACUCCGGAACUGCCUUUGAUACUGGGUAUCUCGAGUCCGGAAGAGGUGAGUGGAAUUCCGAGUGUAGAGGUGAAAUUCGUAGAUAUUCGGAGGAACACCAGUGGCGAAGGCGGCUCACUGGUCCGGUACUGACGCUGAGGUGCGAAAGCGUGGGGAGCAAACAGG